UCGUGACCCUGACCAAAACAAACCGUGCACGCGUCAUCCAAUCCGUCGACGAUGGGCAUCGUCCAUCGCUCGGCCAUCCUCGGUUACCUACACUCCUCAGAGUGGGGUGAUCGGGGUAAAAGAACCCACGGCGCCGAAGGCGUCAAGGAACACUAUGUCUAACCCGAGGGCAUGGCUAGCUUGCUGGUCAUCUCUUGUGUUGCAAUCGUAUUUAAUC
RNAcentral lists this unclassified non-coding RNA (217 nucleotides) under Bromus inermis (smooth brome grass). Lineage: Eukaryota; Viridiplantae; Streptophyta; Magnoliopsida; Poales; Poaceae. The record is from RNAcentral.